Non-coding RNA from Paramuricea clavata, 633 nucleotides. Lineage: Eukaryota; Metazoa; Cnidaria; Anthozoa; Malacalcyonacea; Plexauridae. The record is from the annotation of a GenBank genome assembly.
CCCGUUUACACUAUACCGGAUUGCAUUGGAGCGAAGCGAUUUUCAUACCAGAUUCGGCUGCUGUUUACACUACGCCACAGUAAUCCGGUACGCGACGCGGAGCAAAAAUCACUCCGCUUUGGAGGUGAUAUGAAAAGUAAUCCGGUAUGUGCCGGAGCAGUGUAAACAGGCUAAUCCGGUACGCUUCGGUACAGAAUCGGUUUUGGCGUGUAUGUUUUAACAUUGUCGCCUUUAUUUGCUCGCUUUUACAAUACUUUAUAGCUGUUGUUUGUUUCGCCUUGCAACCAUUUACUAUUUCUGCCGAAUACAAGUAAAGAAAACGAUAAUAACAUUGACUUUUCGCUUUCGAAAGAGCAAAAUUUAAAGAAAUACUCUGAAAUUUUGGAUUAGAGCGAAACGAAGCAACGUCUGGCGGUCAAGCUUUUUAAACAAAGUUAUACUUUACAAAGAAAACGGAUGUUACUUCUUGUUUUUAAUAAAUUUUGGUCAAUUGGCUACUUGUUUCCAUGGCGACAGUGAAAGACAUGAGCUGGCAACAGAGCGAAGCGGCAUAGUGUAAACACCCUUGAUUUUUUACUUCGGAGUAAAAAUUAAUCCGGUAUGAAAAGUAAUCCGGUAUAGUGUAAACGGGGC